GUGAAUCAUCAAAUCUUUGAACGCAAAUUGCACUCCCUGGUAUUCCGGGGAGUAUGCCUGUUUGAGGGUCAGCCUAAAAAAAAAAUCGACAUCGUUGCUGUUUCGCGGUGACGUUAGUCGGAAAUUUGGUCAUCUUAAACCUUUUGGUUUUUAAGCGACUUAAAAUUUUCUUUUUACCCCAUGAACGUUUCUAAGAUUUAUAUCUUUACACGUUUAAGGGUAUCGAUUUUAUUAGACGUGGCCGUCAUAUCGGAUCGCGUCCAUAAUCUUUCAUUAACUGACCU
Molecule: unclassified non-coding RNA, 284 nt
Filed under: Glomeraceae sp.
Lineage: Eukaryota; Fungi; Glomeromycota; Glomeromycetes; Glomerales; Glomeraceae
Description: partial contains 5.8S ribosomal RNA and internal transcribed spacer 2
Rfam family: 5.8S ribosomal RNA (bases 1-71)
Source: RNAcentral